RNAcentral lists this long non-coding RNA (1436 nucleotides) under Taeniopygia guttata (zebra finch). RNAcentral's name for it is "lncRNA (ENSTGUG00000019860.1)". The record is from RNAcentral. Lineage: Eukaryota; Metazoa; Chordata; Aves; Passeriformes; Estrildidae.
UGGAAAAGAACCUGUUUAUUCAACAAACAAAGCACUCCCCAGCACCAAAACAAUUAACAACACUAGAUGACAACAAAACUCUUUCACCCCUCUGAAGAGAUGAACAAAUCCAGAAGGUCUUUCCUGGGAGUGGUUGCCCGGGUCUGGACGCUGGGGAUUGCUCUCCAGCACUGGGGAUGGCUGCUGCAGAUCACCAAAUGCAGGCUCCUGGUGUUCCUUGGUGUUUCCCAGAUCCCAGUCCAGAGCAGGUGGGAUGAUAUUCAGAAAGAGGAAAGGAAAAAGCAACAGUCCAGGGAAAGAAUUGGACUGCUUAGCUAACCUAACUAGGAAGCAAAGCAAGAAAGCAGGCAAAGCAAGCAAGCAAGCAAAGCAAAAGCCAGCCAGCCAGCCCUAGCCUUUUCUAGACAGCAGACCAUGGGGGGAGGUGAACCAGAUGAUAACACGGCAAAACAAACCUUCACUUUCAGAGUCAGUUCUGAAAGCACAGAACAUAAUAUCAAACGUAAACAGAACACACGAUUGGAGAUACAAACACCAUAACAGUCACCCUAGGACAUUCCACCCCUUAUCUCCAUAUCUUCAACAUCAUGUAAAAACUCCAUCAAGUUAAAACUUGUAUCUUUCACUUACUCAUACCUUCGACACUUACACAUUUCCUUCUAUUUCACUUGCUCAAACCUUUGACACUUACACAUUUCCUUCUUUCUCAUGUCUGUGUGUUUUCAUGCACAGACAUUGGCAGUAACAUCCAGCAAACAGUGAUAUUUGCACAAUAGUUUCACCCCACAAUCAGAUCUCCCUGAGGUACACAUCGUGUUGUUCCAUCUCUCUGCAUUAUCCACCAUGUACAACCUGGUCCCUGAGCAAAGACAAUCCCACGAAUGGGUUUGUCUGUACUCGAGGCAGGAUUGAUCCACACUGAUUUCCCUAACAAACCUCUGACAUGUGCCACUGGGACUUUAUCUCCGUCUACUAUAUUCAGGGGCUCAGACUGGGCAGGACCUGCUCGAUUGGUGGAACUUCGGCUGUUAACUAACCAGGUGGCCUUUGCUAAAUGUUGCUCCCAAUUUUUGAAAGAUCCCCCACCCAAUGCUUUUAAGGUGGUUUUUAACAGUCCAUUGUACCUCUCCACUUUGCCUGCAGCUGGUGCAUGGUAGGGGAUGUGGUACACCCACUCAAUGCCAUGUUCCCUAGCCCAGGUGUUGAUAAGGCAGUUCUUGAAAUGAGUCCCAUUGUCUGACUCAAUCCUCUCAGGGGUACCAUGCCUCCAAAGGACCUGCUUUUCAAGGCCCAGGAUGGUGUUACGGGCUGUAGCAUGAGACACAGGGUAGGUUUCCAACCAUCCAGUGGUGGCUUCUACCAUUGUGAGCACGUAGCGCUUGCCUUGGCGUGUCUGGGGCAGUGUGAUGUAGUCAAUCUGCCAGGCCUCCCCAUAC